GACGAACGCUGGCGGCGUGCUUAACACAUGCAAGUCGAACGCUGAAGCUUGGUGCUUGCACUGGGUGGAUGAGUGGCGAACGGUUGAGUAAUACGUGAGUAACCUGCCCUUGACUCUGGGAUAAUCCUGUGAAACUGGUUCUAAUACUGGAUACGACAUGUCACCGCAUGUUGGUGUGUGGAAAGGGUUUUACUGGUUUUGGAUGGGCUCACGGCCUAUCAGCUUGUUGGUGGGGUAAUGGCUCACCAAGGCGACGACGGGUAGCCGGCCUGAGAGGGUGACCGGCCAAACUGGGACUGACACACGGCCGAGACUCCUACGGGAGGCAGCAGUGGGGAAUAUUGCACAAUGGGCGGAAGCCGGAUGCAGCGACGCCGCGUGAGGGAUGACGGCCUUCGGGUUGUAAACCUCUUUCAGCACGGAGGAAGCGAAAGUGACGGUACGUGACGAAGAAGCGCCGGCUAACUACGUG
RNAcentral lists this ribosomal RNA (472 nucleotides) under uncultured bacterium. Its description in RNAcentral is "partial 16S ribosomal RNA". It matches the Rfam family "Bacterial small subunit ribosomal RNA", at positions 28 to 507 of the family's 1533-position model. The record is from RNAcentral.